ACAAUGGUUUUUUUUAAAACCAUUCUAAGGAAAGUAUACACAGUAA
This is a non-coding RNA of Rattus norvegicus (Norway rat), 46 nucleotides long. The record is from Rfam. NCBI's taxonomy places the organism in Eukaryota, Metazoa, Chordata, Mammalia, Rodentia, Muridae.